GCGUUCCGUCUAUUCUCUUAUUACGCCUGUCAGCCUUUCUCUAUCGCGGGGAGAUUGAUGGAAAUUGACUAGACUGAAGAAGCGUAAGCGGCUCGAUGGCUUUGUACUUCUGUUUCUGUGUCCAAAAGUAAAUCGUGAAUCCAGAGUAUGGGGCGUACGGAACGAGGAGAACGCGGAAAGCGACGCUCGCGAAAUUCGCACGACGUAUGCUAUUCUACAGCCCACCCCGACGGUGCGGCACGUCAUUUAACGGUCGACCGUUCGAGAACUCUUAUAUCCCCCGGUUGAUAAAUUAUAUAUCGUCGCGUGUCAAGCCUUCUCCUGUGACAAUUCGCAAUUAUCUUACAUAGCUUCCGAAGUGUAUACGCCCCCACGUAUCGACCAAGUGAGUGUAACAAACUCGUCUGGAAAUCCUUCGAGUUCAUAAACGUAGUACAUAAAAUUGUUGCAUUACAUUGUCAAACAAAUUCACGAACGGUUGAAGUUCAAAGUGGAAAUGCGCCAUUUGCGCGGACGGCAAUAAACGAAAGACUUCAAGAGAAAACGGCCCAAAGAGGCAACAGUUCCAAAAGUAAACGACUUUAUACAUAAGCCUGAGUUCCCGUAUCGUGGAAAAGGGCGACUAGCAGCAGGGAAAACGAGAAAAAGCUUUUCGGAACUUUUGCCCGAUAUCGCAAGUUCAAAACUUCGGCCAAGGCGGAUAUUUCUGCGGCAUCCUAGAUAUAUCGUCGCCAGUUAUUUCUGGAUUCACCUAGAUUUUCAAAGCGACCGGAAUCCCCAAAUAAUUCAACAAAGGAGAGGCACGAAAUGUCUACCGAAAUGUUCACCGAUAUCUGUUGGGCAUAGAAGAAGUGCCAAGGAUGUGCGUGUGUGUACGAGAAGCAACGGGGAUGCAACGCGGACGGUCCCACCUUCCGUCUCCGCGACGAGGAAAUAAUCGGCGAGGAGGAGACGGCGGGAUGCCGUCGAGGAGCCGCCCGAAUUUAUUUAUAGGUUUACAAUAACGUAAGUUGAUGAAGCGCCAGGCGACGAGUUACGUGAAUUGUCGCGACGCGUAUGUAUGUACAUACGAGCCACGCACGUGCGCGAUGUGUAAAUCUUACGCCGGUUGUAUAGAUGAAAUGAAUCCGUAGAAAUAGAAAAAAAAAAAUCGGUGAGGAUUGUCUAAUCGAGAUAUUCAAUCGGGUUUCGCCUGAUUACAUGUCAAUUUGUUAUCCUUACUUUUUUAACGUAGCUGUAUAUAGCGAGAUAUAAAAGAGUAAAUCCUAAAAAGUAAUUUCGUAUUGCGUGAUUCUUUCCUAAUGUAGUUCGAGAUCAUGUCCGACAUAGGAAGCUCAAUGAUAUGUACUGAAGAUUAAUUACUAUCGGAAAUAAAAUUGAUACUCACCUUUUUGCUGGA
Long non-coding RNA from Acromyrmex echinatior (Panamanian leafcutter ant), 1399 nucleotides. The record is from RefSeq and is a predicted model, not a curated record. NCBI's taxonomy places the organism in Eukaryota, Metazoa, Arthropoda, Insecta, Hymenoptera, Formicidae.